CGUCCGGCGUGGCAGCGCGGCCCACCGUGAGGUGAAGUGAUCGUGGCGGUGGUGGGAAGGGUUCCCGGCGCGAAGCAAAGCANACCCCUGCGAUUUCCCCAAAUGCGGGAAACUCGACUGCAUAAUUUGUGGUAGUGGGGGACUGCGUUCGCGCUUUCCCCUG
RNAcentral lists this small nuclear RNA (163 nucleotides) under Laticauda laticaudata (blue-ringed sea krait). RNAcentral describes it as "U1 spliceosomal RNA (ENSLLTG00000007431.1)". It matches the Rfam family "U1 spliceosomal RNA". Rfam says of the family: U1 is a small nuclear RNA (snRNA) component of the spliceosome (involved in pre-mRNA splicing). Its 5' end forms complementary base pairs with the 5' splice junction, thus defining the 5' donor site of an intron. The record is from RNAcentral. Lineage: Eukaryota; Metazoa; Chordata; Lepidosauria; Squamata; Elapidae.